GGUAACCUUAUUUUUCGUUUUUCGUAUCCAACGUUUAACCAUUCGUUUUAUUUAAAAAAUUUAUAUAAAAAUAUAAAAAAAUUAGUCACUUAUAAAGUAUUAUUCAUAUUUUAUCAUCUAGUAACAAUAAAAAUAUUAAUCGCAAAAAAAUUUCAAAUAAGACGAAUGGUUAAAUGUUGGACACGGAAAAAC
Molecule: microRNA precursor, 192 nt
Filed under: Oryza brachyantha (malo sina)
Lineage: Eukaryota; Viridiplantae; Streptophyta; Magnoliopsida; Poales; Poaceae
Description: MIR812 microRNA precursor family
Rfam family: MIR812 microRNA precursor family
Source: Rfam by way of RNAcentral